AGUGAACGCUGGCGGUAGGCCUAACACAUGCAAGUCGAACGGCAGCACAGUAAGAGCUUGCUCUUACGGGUGGCGAGUGGCGGACGGGUGAGGAAUACAUCGGAAUCUACUCUUUCGUGGGGGAUAACGUAGGGAAACUUACGCCAAUACCGCAUACGACCUACGGGUGAAAGCAGGGGAUCUUCGCACCUUGCGCGAUUGAAUGAGCCGAUGUCGGAUUAGCUAGUUGGCGGGGUAAAGGCCCACCAAGGCGCCGAUCCGUAGCUGGUCUGAGAGGAUGAUCGGCCGCACUGGAACUGAGACGCGGUCCAGACUACUACGGGACGCAGCAGUGGGGAAUGUUGGACAAUGGGGGCGAGCCUGAUCCAGCCAUAGCGCGUGGGUGAAGAAGGCCUUCGGGUUGUAAAGCCCUUUUGUUGGGAAAGAAAAGCAGCAGGUUGAUACGCCGCUGUUGUGACGGUACCCAAAGAAUAAGCACCGGCUAACUACGUG
This 492-nucleotide ribosomal RNA is filed under the name uncultured bacterium. RNAcentral describes it as "partial 16S ribosomal RNA". It matches the Rfam family "Bacterial small subunit ribosomal RNA", at positions 29 to 507 of the family's 1533-position model. The record is from RNAcentral.